RNAcentral lists this ribosomal RNA (568 nucleotides) under uncultured bacterium. Its description in RNAcentral is "partial 16S ribosomal RNA". It matches the Rfam family "Bacterial small subunit ribosomal RNA", at positions 355 to 1375 of the family's 1533-position model. The record is from RNAcentral.
UGGGGAAUAUUGGACAAUGGGCGAAAGCCUGAUCCAGCCAUGCCGCGUGAGUGAUGAAGGCCCUAGGGUUGUAAAGCUCUUUCACCGGUGAAGAUAAUGACGGUAACCGGAGAAGAAGCCCCGGCUAACUUCGUGCCAGCAGCCGCGGUAAUACGAAGGGGGGCUAGCGUUGUUCGGAAUUACUGGGCGUAAAGCGCACGUAGGCGGAUAUUUAAGUCAGGGGGUGAAAUCCCCGGGGGCUCAACCCCGGGAACUGCCUUUGAUACUGGGGUAUCUAGAGUAUGGUAGAGGUGAGUGGAAUUCCGAGUGUAGAGGUGAAAUUCGUAGAUAUUCGGAGGAACACCAGUGGCGAAGGCGGCUCACUGGACCAUUACUGACGCUGAGGUGCGAAAGCGUGGGGGAGCAAACAGGAUUAGAUACCCUGGGUAGUCCACGCCGUAAACGAUGGAGGCUAGCCGUUGGCAGGUUUACCUGUCGGUGGCGCAGCUAGCGCAUUAAGCUUCCCGCCUGGGGAGUACGGUCGCAAGAUUAAAACUCAAAUGAAUUGACGGGGUCAUAGCUGUUUCCU